Molecule: long non-coding RNA, 546 nt
Filed under: Nicotiana benthamiana
Lineage: Eukaryota; Viridiplantae; Streptophyta; Magnoliopsida; Solanales; Solanaceae
Description: long non-coding RNA (NBEN_LNC021733)
Source: RNAcentral
GAAUUUCCUGGGAAUUAUUCAGAGGUUUCAUACUUGAGAAAGGAUUUUGGAGAGAUUUCUUCAAAAAAGAAAAUUGAAAGAAAAAUCGUGUAAAGACUUUUAUUUUUUUCUUCUAUAUUCCAUUGUUCAUUUUUUUCCCUGAUAUCAGAACAGAACAAGCUAUUAUGGAAGCUCGAUUUCAUUUGAUAUCAGUUUAUAUUAGCAUUUCGACAUAUCAGAGUUUUUUUACUUCAAUACUGGUUCUGGGAUAAACUAAGGAAUUCGUCGAGAAGUGUGAAUUCGUUGUUGUCUUUUGAGCUGCGGCUGUUCUACUCUGGUUCUAUGGUGGUUUCAUCACUCAGAAAUCAGAAGUUCAUUUUAUUUUUUCCUUUAAUGUGUUACUCUCAAGGUAUAAUUUCGAUCUUCCGUAUUGAGUAUGUUAGAAAUGUUACAACUUCGAGAAUUCUCAUCUAUGGUAUGUGCAUUGGUUAACGAAUCUCUUUUGUAGUGGCUCGCCAUUUUUGAGUUCAAAUGAUUGCCUACUUUGUUUAAAUGAAUAUCUAUGGU